GCCUGGGUGGCUCAGUUGGUUAAGCGUCUGACUUAGGCUCAGGUCAUGAUCUCCCGGCUCAUGAGUUCGAGUCUCAUGUCAGGCU
This 85-nucleotide transfer RNA is filed under the name Felis catus (domestic cat). It matches the Rfam family "tRNA". From Rfam's summary of the family: Transfer RNA (tRNA) molecules are approximately 80 nucleotides in length. Their secondary structure includes four short double-helical elements and three loops (D, anti-codon, and T loops). The record is from Rfam by way of RNAcentral. Lineage: Eukaryota; Metazoa; Chordata; Mammalia; Carnivora; Felidae.